UGAGCCCAACAGUUAGCCUUUCGGAACCCUAAAUCGCUCGCAGGUCUCAUCUUCUCCCCGCCGCCACACAAUCCCCCUCUCCCCGAAAUCGCUCGCGCUCGAAUCUCUCCCAAAUCUCACGACCCGCCCUCAGCCUCGUCCGCCCGCCCGCCAUUCCCCAAGCCGCGCCUCGCUCUCCUCUCUCCGCCGCCGGCUCCCGUCCUCAGAUCCACACCCUUCCCUCCCCAAUCUCCACCGACGCCGCCUCCUCGUAUGCUGCGCAGGAGGCGAGUGAGUGGCGGCCCCUCAGGGGCAGGCGUAUCACGGCCGACGACGGCUUGGCCGAGCUCGAGCCACUAGGUGCCCCCGGCCCAUGCGCCGCUCAAGGGCUCCGCGGUGGCACUGCGGCAGGCGCGUGGGCGCAGAACCGCGGCGCCGUGGCCGAUCGGGCCGUGGGGCAGAUCCUAGGCGCGAGCGCCUUGCUACCUUGCCUGCGCGGGCACGCGUCUGGCCGGCGGCGCCGCCCAACUCGGCGUCGUCAGUGUCCUUCUCCUCCAGGUGCCGUCGCAGCCUCCGCAACUGCGGCUGCAAGGCGGAGGAGGCGAGGGACUGGGCGGAGCUGCCGCUGGAUGCCAUCUCCACCAUCCUCCGCACGACCAGAUCGAGAUCCUCGUGGGGUCCAGCCUGGUUGCCAUUCCUAUGGCAGUGCGAGGCAUUCUGGGCGGAGUAAGCCGAUGACGAUGUGCUCAAGCUCCUCAGCAAACAGCGAGACUUCGAUCCCAUCCCCAAAUUUGAUCCCACUGAGGCAGCUGGCCUUCCUCCUCUCCACCGCUGCAUUUGGCACAUGCUCGUGUGCCUGACAAAACGAUGAAGCAAUGGAUGAAGGUCGGAGGAGAAGACGCCGUGGCGCUCGGCGCUCAGUGUUUCUUGGAUUUGGAAUAAUUUAAUUUAGUUGUCUCGCUUAGUAUUUCUUUUCCUUCCUUCUAAAACUAUAUACCAUCAAUUUGUGUUGGCAUUUAUACCUUGCUGAUACAAUGCUUCUUGUUUGUUUUUUUUUCUGGGCCACAUGACGACUACUACAUUACUCUGUACUAUAAAUUUCCUUGAACUUAAUUGAUAGUUUCCUCAUUUGUUUGCAUGCACAAGAAUUGUGUGACCUAGCCACCUCACUGGCGAAAAGGACAGGCAAGGAAAGAAGCAAGUCUAGCUCCUGCAACUCAAAAUAUAUUGGUAUAUUUUAGCAGGAUUUGAUAUUAGAAGUAAGCUCAAGUGCUCUUUUAUAUAUGAGUUUAUUGCUAUGCAGUAUCUGCUAUUGAGUGAAAAGAAGCACAUGCAAGGCAUGAUGCCUGUGCAGAUUUUUAUCAUGAAUGCUAGCUAGGCCCUUGCAUCAUUUUGUAUAACCUAAGAUUCAAUAGCUUACAUGACAUUGUAUAUAUUCUGAAUUUGUUUGUGUUCAAGUUAGGUUCCAAGUCCUUAUAGUUGUAAUUUUAUCUUUGCUCUAUAUAAUUUUGUCCUUGCUCAAUGAAAUAACAUGCCAACACUGCUGGCUUUAUUUUGGGACAUACGCUAUAUAUAUGUGUGCAGCACAACAACUUGAGUAGUGCAGUAUAUACUUCAGGGGUGAAGGAUAACAUGUACGAGAUGCUUAAAUUUGUCUACAAAUUUUGUUCAUCCAAGUGUAGAGACUAAUGUAUUUCUGUUAUGAGAGUGACUGCAGCCACUAAUAUUCAUAUUUCUGAUAGUUGAAGGUUACCAAGGGAUCACAAUCUUCCCAAGGUGCAUCAGGUGGGAGGUCUUAGAGGUGGCAUGAUGGUUGAUCAACAAGUGGAUCAGUGCUCACGGAGACUUCUAUUUUGGGCGGAGACUUCUAUUUUGGGCUGUGCUCAUGGACACUUUUAUUUUGGGCAGUGCUUAUUUGGAAUAUCUAGGCUGGCUCCCCUUAUUUUGUAAAUGUGGCUGCUUGUACCGUGGCCGGUGACAAACCCAACAUAUGAUCUAGCUAGCUUGACUUAGCACUGUGAUAACAAAUGAUGUCUAUGAUGAAGCUUUGCUAUUCAACCAAUUAUAUAUGUAUUGGGUUCAUAUGAAAACUCUGAGCUCUAUUAUUUUAGUCAAUUCCAUGUUUGAUAUUUGUUGGCUUCAAAUGAAAAACAUGAUCUAUAUAUCUUUAUUCAAGUGUGCUUGA
Molecule: long non-coding RNA, 2164 nt
Organism: Panicum virgatum (switchgrass)
Lineage: Eukaryota; Viridiplantae; Streptophyta; Magnoliopsida; Poales; Poaceae
Exons: 3
Source: RefSeq, a predicted model, not a curated record